UACGCUGCUAUACUCUAGGUUAAUUAAAUUAUGCAUAUGGAUUUAAUGCCUCACUCAUUAUAAGUGGCAGAAUGAAUAUUUACACUGGGAAAUUAAGCAGUAGCAAUUAAAACAGGCAUAUACUGUAAGUACUUUUGCAUUUGUCAAUUGUUCCGCAAAACAUUAGCACAUAUUAAGUUCAUUGCUACUCCCCCAUGUCUACAGUACAUUUAUAACUUGCACAUUUGUUAAACACAAACUUAUUAUCUUUUAAAAUAAAUUAAUUGACUGUGCACAAUCACUUGCACAUUUGAAAGGUACCUUACUUCCAGAUUGUGCUAAUGAAACUGGAAAAAAAUUGUGAAAGCAGACUAUUCAUCAUAGUGAAGUAAAAUUUCCAUCCUCCACUUAGGGCCUUCUGGAUCCCAUUCCCAAAUCACAGAGAUGAAGUAAUUAGAAUAGAGGUCUGGGUUUUCCUGGAAAAUAUCAGCAGUAUAAGUGUAAGAUAUUGUGAACUUCCUGUUCAGCAUUUCCUUUGGUUUUGUUGACAAUGCUCUAUUAGUGAACCUGCCCCAACAUGCUACCAUUUAAUUUGACGUGUCUGCUUUCAGACAUCUCUGGCAAAUGUAGACUCUGGAAAAAAGUUGCAGACCUCAGAGCAAGAUUGCAGUACCAGAGGGACAUUAGGGACUGUACUUUGCUUCACGGAAACAUGGUUAACCUUUGCCGUUUUGGGCACAGUGCUCCACAAAGACCUGUUAGUUCUGUCUUUUAAUGGUAGGAGAGUGGAGUAGGCUUUGUGGUUAAUUCAUUGUGGUGUAUAUAUGUGAUGGCUCUGUCUCAAUCCUGCUCAUCCAGUCUGGAGUAUCUAGCAGUCAAGUGCCGUCUGUUUUAUCUGCCAAGGGAACUUUCCACCACAUCCUGGUAGCAGUGUACAUUCCACCUCAGGCCAAUAUCAGGCAGGCACUGGAGGAGCUGAGACCGUGAUUAUCAGUCACGGAACAGCACACCCAGAUGCCUUCCUUAUCAUUGUGGGGGUUUUCAACCAGGCCAGCUUUAAGAAGUCUCUGAACAGCUACCACCAACAUAUCAUCUGUGGAACGAGAGGAGCCAACACACUUGACCACUAUUAUAUCACCAUCAAGAACACUUACCAUGCCAUUCCAUGCCCGCACUUUGGAAAGUCCGAAUACCUGGCUGUACUUUUGCUCCUAGUGUAUAGGCAGAGACAAAAGACUGCAGCACCAGUGGUGAGGACCAAGGAGGUAUGAUCAAGGAAGGCAGAGGAGUUCUUGCAGGGCUAGAUUGAGGCAGUGGACUGGAUGAUAUGCAGGGAUUCAUCCUCAGAUCUGAAUGAAUACACCACAGUUGUCACCAACUUCUGUGGAUGACUGUUUGCCUCCAAGAACGUACUGGACAUACCCAAAUCAAAAGCCAUGGAUAAACUAGGAAAUCCGUAGUCUGCUGAGGGCUGGUCCAUGGCAUUCAAGACCAGUGAUCCAAAACUAUACCAGAAGUCCAGUUACGAUCUACAGAAGGCUACUUUAAAAGUGAAAACAAUUCUCAUUGAAUUUAGUGAUGGAAUCAGAUGCGCAGCAGUUCUGGCACGGUUUGCAGGCCGUUACUUCCUGCAAGGCAAAACCUAACAUUUCGAACGUCUGUGAUGCUUCACUCCCAGAUGAGCUCAACACCUUCUAUGUCUGCUUUAAAAGGGAAAAUAAAACUACACCUGUGCAAAUCCCCGCAGCAUCUGGUGACCCUGUGAUCUCUGUCUCGGAUGCUGAUGUCAGAACAUGAGAGUGAACCCUCACAAAGUGACAGGCCCUGAUGGUAUACCUGGUAAGGCACUGAAAAGCUGUACCUAUCACCUGGCUGCAGUACUCAAUCUCUCACUUCUAUAGGUGGAGGUCCCCACCUGCUUCAAAGGGGCGGCAAUCAUACCAGUGCCCAAGAAGAGCUGGGAGAGCUGCCUCAACGAUUAUCACCCAGUGGCACUCACAUCUACUGUGUUGAAGUGCUUUGAGAGGUUGGUCAAAAGUCCUGCCUUAGCAAAGACGUGGAUGUGCUAUAAUUUGUCUAUUGCCACAAUAUGUCUACAGCGGACACUAUCUAACUGGCUCUCCACUUGGCCUGGGAUCACAUGGACUAUAGUAAAACCUACAUCAGGCUGCCAUUUACUGAUCCCAGCUCUAAGUUCAACAACAUCAUACACUCAGUAUUACUGAACAAGUUCCAAAACCUGGGCCUCCAUACCUCCCUCUGCAAACUGGAUUCCUGAUGUCCUCAUUGGUAGACCACAGUCAAUGCAGAUUGGAAAUAACAUCUCCCCACUGACAAUCAACACUGACACACCUCAAGGAUGCACGCUUGGCCCACUGCUCUACUCUCCCUACACCCAUUACUGUGCGGCCAGGCACAGCUCAGACACCAUCUAUAAAUUUGCUGAUGACUCUACUAUUGGUGCCAGCAUUUCAAAUGGUGACAUUUCAGCUGGUUAAGUGGUGUUGAAACAACAACCUUGCACUUAAUGUCAGUAAGACCAAGGAAUUGAUUGUGGACUUCAGGAAAGGUAAGUUGAAGGAACACACAUCAGUUGUCAUCAAAGGAUCGGAAGUGAGCAGUGAGCAGUUUCAAGUUCCUGGCUGUCAACGUCUCUAAGGAUCUAACUUGGGUCCAACAGUUAUAAAGAAGACAUGUCAGUGGUUAUAUUUCAUUAGGAGUUUGAGGAGACUGGGUACAUCAACAAAGACUCUCGCAAAUUUUGAUAGAUGCACGUGGAGAGCAUUCUAACUGGUUGCAUCACUAUCUGGUAUUGAGGGGUCACUGCACAGGAUCGGAAAGAGCUGCAGAAAAUUACAAACUCAGCCAGCUCCACCACGGGCAAUAGCCUACCCAGCACCGAGGACAUCUUCAAAAGGCAAUGCCUCAAAAAGGCAGCAUCCAUCAUUAAGGAUCCCCAUUGCCAAAGAUAUUCCCUCUUCACAUUGCUACCAACAAGGAGGAGGUACAGGAGCCUGAAGACACACACUCAAAGUUUUAAGAACAGCUGCUUUCUUUCUGCCAUCAGAUUUCUGACCUCUACCUCACUUUUUUUUCUUAUUUUGUUUUCAAAGUUCAAAAGUUUGAAGUAAAUUUUAUUAUCAAACUGUAUAUAUGUUAUCACAUUCAAUCCUGUGAUCUGUUUUCCUGUGGGCAUACUCAAUAAAUCUAUAGGAUAGUAGCUAUAACAGGAUCAAUGGAAGAUCAACCAGAGUGCAGAAGACAACAAACUGUGCAAAUGCAAAUAUAAAAAAAAGCAAUAAAUAAUGAGACCAAGAGAUAAAGAGUCCUUAAAGUGAGAUCACUGGUUGUGUUCAAAACCCUGAUGGUUGACGGGUAGUAAUUGUUCUUGAUCCUGGUGUGGCAAAUCCUGAGGCUCUUGUACCUUCUACGUGAUGGCAGCAGCAAGAUGAGAGUAUGACCUGGGUGGUGGGGAUCUCUGAUGAUGGAUGCUGCUUUCCCACAACGACUUUGCAUGCUCAACGGUUGAGAGGGCUUUACCCAUGAUGUACUGGCCUGAACCCACUACCUUUUGUAGGAUUUUUCACUCAAAGGCAUUGGUGUUUCCAUACCAGGCUGUGAUGCAAGCAGGCAAUACACACUCCACUGCACAUCAAUAGAAGUCAUACUGAGUCUCCACAGAUUCCUAAGGAAGUAGAGGCGCUGCCAUGCUUUAUUCGCAAUUGCACUUACGUAUUGGGUCCAGGACAGGUCCUCUGAAAUAAUAAUAAUAAUAAUCUGCCAACCCUCUCCACCUCUGAUCCUCCAAUGAGGACUGGUCAUGGACCUCUGGUUUCCUCCUGAAGACUAUAAACAGUUCCCUGGCCUUGCUGACAUUGAAUGAGAGGUUCUGUUCUGUCACCAUUCUGCUGAAUCUUCAAUAUCCCUCCUGCAUGUAUAAUUAUUGGAAAGGUGCAGAAAGGAGCAACAGCAACCCAAUGGCUUGGCCUCUACAGCCGCCUGUGGCAACAAAUGUCCACAGAGAGGGUCUUUAGUCUUCUGUAUCUCUUCAUUCCCGUGACCAGUGUUCACUUGUUACAGCCUCUCAGCUGAGUACAAUCUCUCCGGAAGCUACAGAUGAAUGACUGCAUGGCAAUGUGAAAUAUGAUCAAAUGCUACACAUUUAUCAGCCCUGUAUCUCUGGGUGGAAGUUGGAGGCAAAGUUGACGAAGUCGAUGGGGAAGCAGCACCGAUGCAGCGAAGGAAAAGCGGUGGGCCGACAGGUUAUAACCCCAUCUGGCCUUUUUUAAAAAAAGUUUCUGCAGAAGCCGUUUCGGCUGAAAAACGCAGCACGGACUUUCCAACGGCUGGGGGGGUGGGGGCUCUGAUUUAUAAGAGAUUGAUUUUGUUUUCUGUGUGCCUGGGUGGCAUACCUGUCGCCAGGGUGUUCAACUCCGCACGCUGCUUAAGCCAACACGGGCUGAUGAUUAUCUCCGCUGACUGCCAGCUUGGAGUGGGUUUGCUCAUCUCCGCUGAAGGUGCGAGACCCCUCCUGUCAAAAGUAUCCGUCAUUAUGGGUCUAUCCCGUAAGCGGUACUGCAAGUUUUCGAUGUUCCAGGGUUGAGUGAAGAGCUAAUGACAUGGCAUCUGCUGUGGACCUGUUGUGCCAGUAAGCAAAUUUGAGCGGAUCUGCGUCGUUUCUCAGGGAGGAGUUGAUAUGUUUCAUCACCAGCCUCUCAAAACACUUCAACACUGCAUGAAGCAAGGGAAGAAACUUCUGUGAUCCUGGCAGAAAUUUGCCUACCUACCCUAGACAUGGGUGAGGAAGCAGAAGACUGGUGGGUGGCUAACGUUCUGCCUUUAUUUAAGGAGGGCCGCAAGGAUCAGCCAGGGAGCUACAGGCUGGUGAGCAGAA
This is a long non-coding RNA of Hypanus sabinus (Atlantic stingray), 4873 nucleotides long. RefSeq lists it as uncharacterized. The record is from RefSeq and is a predicted model, not a curated record. The transcript is spliced from 3 exons. NCBI's taxonomy places the organism in Eukaryota, Metazoa, Chordata, Chondrichthyes, Myliobatiformes, Dasyatidae.